Molecule: ribosomal RNA, 349 nt
Filed under: Pseudomonas aeruginosa
Lineage: Bacteria; Pseudomonadati; Pseudomonadota; Gammaproteobacteria; Pseudomonadales; Pseudomonadaceae
Description: partial 23S ribosomal RNA
Rfam family: Bacterial large subunit ribosomal RNA
Source: RNAcentral
GAAGGUGACCUGUGAGGGUUGCUGGAGGUAUCAGAAGUGCGAAUGCUGACAUAAGUAACGAUAAAGCGGGUGAAAAGCCCGCUCGCCGGAAGACCAAGGGUUCCUGUCCAACGUUAAUCGGGGCAGGGUGAGUCGACCCCUAAGGCGAGGCCGAAAGGCGUAGUCGAUGGGAAACAGGUUAAUAUUCCUGUACUUGGUGUUACUGCGAAGGGGGGACGGAGAAGGCUAUGUUAGCCGGGCGACGGUUGUCCCGGUUUAAGCAUGUAGGCUGGUUAUCCAGGCAAAUCCGGAUAACCAAGGCUGAGGUGUGAUGACGAGGCACUACGGUGCUGAAGUAACAAAUGCCCUG